CCUACGGGGGGCUGCAGUAAGGAAUAUUGGUCAAUGGACGCAAGUCUGAACCAGCCAUGCCGCGUGGAGGAUGAAGGUCCUCUGGAUUGUAAACUUCUUUUAUUUGGGACGAAAAAAGGUCUUUCUAGAUCGUCUGACGGUACCAGAUGAAUAAGCACCGGCUAACUCCGUGCCAGCAGCCGCGGUAAUACGGAGGGUGCAAGCGUUAUCCGGAUUUACUGGGUUUAAAGGGUGCGCAGGCGGAUAUGUAAGUCAGUGGUGAAAUCUUUAGGCUUAACCUGAAAAUUGCCGUUGAUACUAUAUAUCUUGAAUGCUGUGGAGGUAAGCGGAAUAUGUCAUGUAGCGGUGAAAUGCUUAGAUAUGACAUAGAACACCUAUUGCGAAGGCAGCUUACUACGCAGAUAUUGACGCUCAUGCACGAAAGCGUGGGGAUCAAACAG
This 440-nucleotide ribosomal RNA is filed under the name uncultured bacterium. Its description in RNAcentral is "bacterial SSU rRNA". It matches the Rfam family "Bacterial small subunit ribosomal RNA", at positions 338 to 775 of the family's 1533-position model. The record is from RNAcentral.